RNAcentral lists this ribosomal RNA (746 nucleotides) under uncultured bacterium. Its description in RNAcentral is "bacterial SSU rRNA". It matches the Rfam family "Bacterial small subunit ribosomal RNA", at positions 8 to 796 of the family's 1533-position model. The record is from RNAcentral.
AGAGUUUGAUCAUGGCUCAGGAUGAACGCUGGCGGUAUGCUUUACACAUGCAAGUCGUACGAGAGUUUUGAACUCAAGUGGCGGACGGGUGAGUAACACGUAAGAAUUUGCCUUUAGGAGGGGGACAACAACUGGAAACGGUUGCUAAUACCCCAUAUGCUUUCGAGUGAAACGGUUUUUCCGCCUAAAGAGAAGCUUGCGGCUGAUUAGCUUGUUGGUAAGGUAAUGGCUUACCAAGGCGACGAUCAGUAUCUGGUUUGAGAGGACGAUCAGACACACUGGAACUGAGACACGGUCCAGACUCCUACGGGAGGCAGCAGUGGGGAAUUUUCCGCAAUGGGCGAAAGCCUGACGGAGCAAUACCGCGUGAGGGAUGAAUGCCUAUGGGUUGUAAACCUCUUUUUUCAGGGAGGAAUCAAUGACGUUACCUGAAGAAUAAGCAUCGGCUAACUCCGUGCCAGCAGCCGCGGUAAGACGGAGGAUGCAAGUGUUAUCCGGAAUCACUGGGCGUAAAGCGUCUGUAGGUGGUUUGAUAAGUCAACUGUUAAAUCUUGAGGCUCAACCUCAAAACCGCAGUCGAAACUAUUAGACUAGAGUAUAGUAGGGGUAAAGGGAAUUUCCAGUGGAGCGGUGAAAUGCGUAGAGAUUGGAAAGAACACCGAUGGCGAAGGCACUUUACUGGGCUAUUACUAACACUGAGAGACGAAAGCUAGGGUAGCAAAUGGGAUUAGAUACCCCAGUAGUCC